Danio rerio (zebrafish) is the source of this 71-nucleotide non-coding RNA. The record is from Rfam. Lineage: Eukaryota; Metazoa; Chordata; Actinopteri; Cypriniformes; Danionidae.
GCAUUGGUGGUUUAGUGGUAGAAUUCUCGCCUCCCACACAGGAGACCUGGGUCCGAUUCCUGGCCAGCGCA